CCUUUAAAGAAAGCGUAAUAGCUCACUCAUUCAGAGAUCUUGCGCCGCAGAUUCUCGGGGCUAAACGUUGUACCGAAGGUGCGGAUGUCACAUUUAUUUAUAAAAGUGGCGUGGUAGGAGAGUAUUUUGUUCGGCUGUGAAGGUUGACCGCGAGGUCGGCUGGAGCGAACAGAAGUAAGAAUGUUGGCACAAGUAACCGCAAUCCCGGUGAGAUCCCGGGACGCCGAAAGACUAAGGUUUCCUUGGCAAUGGUAAUCAGCCAAGGGUUAGUCGGUCCUAAGGGGAUGACGACAGUCGGACCCGAUGGACAGAUGGUUAAUAUUCCAUCACUUCCAAAUAGUGCGAUGGGGCGACGGAGGGUUAUAAAGAGAGCGCAUUAAUGGUUUUGCGUUCGGGCAGUGAGGAGGCUGGUUAGGUAAAUCCGGCUGGCAAUACUCCAAGCUGAGCGGAAAUGCCAAGGGCAACUGCGGCAAAUUCUCUUGAACACGCUUCCUAGAAAAACCUCUAAGCAUAACUGUUUGGAAACCGUACCGUAAACCGACACAGGUGGUCAAGUCGAGAAGACUAAGGCGAACGGGUGAUUGCUCCUCAAGGAACUCGGCAAAAAAGCGGCCGUAACUUCGGAAUAAGGCCUGCCCUGCGCAAGCGGGGCCGCAGCGAAAGUUUCCCUGGCGACUGUUUACCAAAAACACAGCUCCCUGCGAACUCGUAAGAGGAUGUAUAGGGGGUGACACCUGACCAAUGCCAGAAGGUCAAACAAGGUUGGUCUAAUAUCUUCGGAUGUUAGGCUGUACUUUGUAAGCCCUGGUGAAUGUCGGCGAUAACUAUAAUCGUCCUAAGGUAGCGAAAUUCCUUGUCGGGUAAAUUCCGACGCGCACGAAUGGUGUAACGAUUAGGGAACUGUCUCGAGGAGUAGCCCGGUGAAAAUGCAAUGGGGGUGAAGAUGCCCCCUACCUGCAGUUAGACGAAAAGACCCCAGAAGCUUUACUACAACUUGAUAUUGGGCGUGUGUUUAGACUGCGUAGCAUAGGUGGGAGACUUUGAAGUUUCGCUUUCGGGCGGAACGGAGUCGUCAGUGAAAUACCACUCUGUCAUGAUGCACGUUCUAACCUCGGUGGCAAAAACGCCGAGAGACAGUAUCUGGUGGGUAGUUUUAGUGGGGCGCUAUCCUCCUAAAAAGUAACGGAGGAGUUUAUUAAGGUCAGCUAGGCGCGAAUGGAAACCGUGCCGAUAGUGUAAUGGCAUAAGCUGGCUUGACUGCGAGACGUACAUGUCGAGCAGGUACGAAAGUAGAACAUAGUGAACCGACAGUCCGCAUUAGACGCGGCUGGAGAUUAACGGAUAAAAGCUACUCUGGGGAUAACAGGCUGGUUCCGCCCAAGCGUCCAUAGCGACGGCGGAGUUCGGCACCUCGAUGUCGGCUCAUCUUAUCCUGGGGCUGGAG
RNAcentral lists this ribosomal RNA (1444 nucleotides) under activated sludge metagenome. RNAcentral describes it as "bacterial LSU rRNA". It matches the Rfam family "Bacterial large subunit ribosomal RNA", at positions 1120 to 2558 of the family's 2925-position model. The record is from RNAcentral.